RNAcentral lists this ribosomal RNA (681 nucleotides) under uncultured Bacilli bacterium. RNAcentral's name for it is "bacterial SSU rRNA". It matches the Rfam family "Bacterial small subunit ribosomal RNA", at positions 71 to 738 of the family's 1533-position model. Lineage: Bacteria; Bacillati; Bacillota; Bacilli. The record is from RNAcentral.
GCUUGCACUCAAUUGGAAAGAGGAGUGGCGGACGGGUGAGUAACACGUGGGUAACCUACCCAUCAGAGGGGGAUAACACUUGGAAACAGGUGCUAAUACCGCAUAACAGUUUAUGCCGCAUGGCAUAAGAGUGAAAGGCGCUUUCGGGUGUCGCUGAUGGAUGGACCCGCGGUGCAUUAGCUAGUUGGUGAGGUAACGGCUCACCAAGGCCACGAUGCAUAGCCGACCUGAGAGGGUGAUCGGCCACACUGGGACUGAGACACGGCCCAGACUCCUACGGGAGGCAGCAGUAGGGAAUCUUCGGCAAUGGACGAAAGUCUGACCGAGCAACGCCGCGUGAGUGAAGAAGGUUUUCGGAUCGUAAAACUCUGUUGUUAGAGAAGAACAAGGACGUUAGUAACUGAACGUCCCCUGACGGUAUCUAACCAGAAAGCCACGGCUAACUACGUGCCAGCAGCCGCGGUAAUACGUAGGUGGCAAGCGUUGUCCGGAUUUAUUGGGCGUAAAGCGAGCGCAGGCGGUUUCUUAAGUCUGAUGUGAAAGCCCCCGGCUCAACCGGGGAGGGUCAUUGGAAACUGGGAGACUUGAGUGCAGAAGAGGAGAGUGGAAUUCCAUGUGUAGCGGUGAAAUGCGUAGAUAUAUGGAGGAACACCAGUGGCGAAGGCGGCUCUCUGGUCUGUA